GAAAUACGAUAAGUAAUGUGAAUUGCAGAAUUCAGUGAAUCAUCGAAUCUUUGAACGCACAUUGCGCCCGCCAGCACUCUGGCGGGCAUGCCUGUUCGAGCGUCAUUUCAACCCUCAGAACCCCUUGCGGGCUCUGGCGUUGGGGAUUGGCAUCCAGCCAGCCCCGAAAUCUAGUGGCGGUCCCUCCGCGACCUCCCCUGUGCAGUAGCGAUACCUCGCAGCGGGACAGCGGUCUGACCACGCCGUAAAACCCCCAACUUCUCAAGGUUGACCUCGAAUCAGGUAGGAAUACCCGCUGAACUUAAGC
Molecule: unclassified non-coding RNA, 307 nt
Filed under: plant metagenome
Description: partial contains 5.8S ribosomal RNA, internal transcribed spacer 2, and large subunit ribosomal RNA
Rfam family: 5.8S ribosomal RNA (bases 1-105)
Source: RNAcentral